RNAcentral lists this long non-coding RNA (1459 nucleotides) under Salmo salar (Atlantic salmon). RNAcentral describes it as "lncRNA (ENSSSAG00000095498.1)". The record is from RNAcentral. Lineage: Eukaryota; Metazoa; Chordata; Actinopteri; Salmoniformes; Salmonidae.
GUGAGCGCUCUCUAGGCACCCAUAAUUGGCUUAGCAGCUGUGGCUGGGUAUUUCUGUCAGCUCGAUGUCUCCUCAACUGUGAUUAUAAUAUGAUGGUUCCCAAUCACAUUUUGCAGGCACCUGAUCCUGAACCUUUUUUCCUACUGACUCAUCGCUUAGACACUAAUAUGUGACUACUUUCAGGAAACUAGGCAUGUCGCAAGUCACGACUUCACAGGAGAGGCAUUUGAACGUUUAUUUAAAUAUUUUAGCAAAAUGUGUUUUUUGUCAGAAAUGCCUUCUUGAAAUGUUUAACUUUCAUGUGCAUUAAUAACAAACGUGUAUGCCAUCUGUAAAUACAAAUAGUUGUUCAAUUAUGAGCCUAGUUGGUUUAGCCACAGAAAAAGAGAGGAACCUUCCCGCUAGCCAUGAUUGGCCGAGAUAAUGUAUGGGCUGACACGCGGCGCUAUCGACGAAGGUGAGUGGGAGAAAGUUGUGAUGGACUACUUUCAGGAGGACGAUCAUACCAUGCUGACUCUAAAAAUGAAUCAGACGAUGACUUGACACAACGGGCCAAGCAAGCUGCACAAACAAAACGGAAACGACACAGGACGUCUUAUUUAAUGAAAGGUUGCAGUCUGCCGUGAAGCAUUCAUCCAGGUACACGGUAGAACACGCCUGACUCUCCUCCACAAGUCAUACAAGGAUAAUGGUCUAAUGCCUCUCAUCAAAAAGAGAGCUGGAAAAGCAAGCACUUGUUCAGAGUGAGCGGUCUGUCUACUAGAAGAUGGUUGCUGACUGCAAUACCACCUGUCAAGACCUGCAGUUGUCUCUGGGGGCCCUACUGAACCAUCAAGCAAAGACAUCAGGAUGCAUUACAGCUUUGAUUUUGCUCAACAAGUGCACUAUCCUUCGUACCCUAUGCAGCCAGGUCCCACCUACUUUUUAACUCCUUGCAAGUGUGGCUUGUUUGGUGUCUGCUGUGAAGGAAUACCACAACAAGUCAACUACUUGAUUGAUGAAGGCAUGUCAUCCAGCAAAAGCAACAGUGCAGUCAUCAAGUCAUCAGCUGCAUGCGCCAUUUCUUCACUAACUACAGAGUUGAGAAAACAGAUGUUGACCUGAAUUGUGAAAACUGCAGUGACCAAAAAACGAACAAGUUUGUGCUCUGAUAUUGUGCCUGGCGGACCAUACACAAGCACCACCACAGUCUGGACCUUCACUUCCUGUUCACAGGCCGCACCAAGUUUGCCCCCGACUGGUGCUUUGGCCUCAUUAAGCAGUGCUUCAGAUAGACCAGAGUGAAGACUUUGUCUGAGAUUGCUGGUGUUGUGAAGGACAGCACUGUGACAGGGGUCAACAUCCCACAGCUGGUUGGACUGGAGGAUGGUACGGUGCUGGUGGAAAGCUAUGGCUGGCAACAACACCUGACUCCGUACUUCUGGCCGCUGCCACAGAUCAAGCCGUACCAGUACUUCAG